AUGCUGGGCUGUCAGCUGGGCUGUUGGCUGCCAGUCCGCCUGCGUUAUCAGAGGCUGCAGACACUGCCCUGCCUGGUGGGAGGCAGGGAAGCUAGGCCUACCUAUCCGAGGCUCUGUGCUGCCUUUGACCCUCCCACUCAGUCUCCUCCCAGCAAGUGGAGUGGCCUGGCCUGCCUGGAGCAGGAGAGGCACCAAAGGCAGGGAUCCCAGGGACAGGCUGAGUGGAGGAGGCCAGACCAGGACAUAGAAGACAAUACACUCCAGGUCCCGGAGGUACUAGUGCCCCUCAGGAAACAGCUAGAAGCACAAGAAUCACAUCCCAGGCUUUGUGAGGAGAUGGCUGAGUACUGGAGGACACGCUGGCACCAGGUGGCAGUUGCCCUGAAAUUUAAAGAGGAGGAACUGCAAAGACUCCAGAUGCAGAGUGGGACCUGGCCUCCCCAGGGAGUGGGACCUGCUGUAGGUCUGAGCACCAAGGGCUCCCGCACCAGGAGGACAGGAGCCUCCAGUCAUCUCCACUUCACAACCCCUGAAAGCCUCAGCUUGUGGAUCCAGAGCUGGGUACUGAGCCGUACUGGACCAGCGGGCCCUCUCCUGGGAUCGCUGGACUUGGAGCAGAAGAGACCCUCCAGGACUGAAGACUGGACACACAAAACUUGGGAAUUGUCAACUGACCUAUUAUUCACCUCGUGA
Molecule: long non-coding RNA, 693 nt
Filed under: Piliocolobus tephrosceles (Ugandan red Colobus)
Lineage: Eukaryota; Metazoa; Chordata; Mammalia; Primates; Cercopithecidae
Description: lncRNA (ENSPTEG00000023719.1)
Source: RNAcentral